UACGCAGGGGGCUAGCGUUGUUCGGAAUCACUGGGCGUAAAGGGCGCGUAGGCGGCUAGAUAAGUCGGGGGUGAAAGCCUGUGGCUCAACCACAGAAUUGCCUUCGAUACUGUCUGGCUUGAGACCGGAAGAGGUUAGUGGAACUGCGAGUGUAGAGGUGAAAUUCGUAGAUAUUCGGAGGAACACCAGUGGCGAAGGCGGCUCACUGGUCCGGUACUGACGCUGAGGUGCGAAAGCGUGGGGAGCAAACAGG
RNAcentral lists this ribosomal RNA (253 nucleotides) under uncultured bacterium. RNAcentral describes it as "partial 16S ribosomal RNA". It matches the Rfam family "Bacterial small subunit ribosomal RNA", at positions 524 to 776 of the family's 1533-position model. The record is from RNAcentral.